GACGAACGCUGGCGGCGUGCUUAACACAUGCAAGUCGAACGGAAAGGCCCUGCUUUUGUGGGGUGCUCGAGUGGCAAACGGGUGAGUAACACGUGAGUAACCUGCCCUUGACUUCGGGAUAACUUCAGGAAACUGGGGCUAAUACCGGAUAGGAGCUCCUGCUGCAUGGUGGGGGUUGGAAAGUUUCGGCGGUUGGGGAUGGACUCGCGGCUUAUCAGCUUGUUGGUGGGGUAGUGGCUUACCAAGGCUUUGACGGGUAGCCGGCCUGAGAGGGUGACCGGCCACAUUGGGACUGAGAUACGGCCCAGACUCCUACGGGAGGCAGCAGUGGGGAAUAUUGCACAAUGGGCGGAAGCCUGAUGCAGCAACGCCGCGUGCGGGAUGACGGCCUUCGGGUUGUAAACCGCUUUCGCCUGUGACGAAGCGUGAGUGACGGUAAUGGGUAAAGAAGCACCGGCUAACUACGUG
This 468-nucleotide ribosomal RNA is filed under the name uncultured bacterium. RNAcentral's name for it is "partial 16S ribosomal RNA". It matches the Rfam family "Bacterial small subunit ribosomal RNA", at positions 28 to 507 of the family's 1533-position model. The record is from RNAcentral.